AAAUACUCCAAUACAUAUCUACCCAAUAAUCUGGUGUCACAAAUUCACGAACAUCUACGAAUUUCUACAAAUACUAGUUUAGAAAGAAAAUACAAUUGUUCUCGAAAUGAAAAGAGACAGUAUAUCUAAAACAUAAGGAAUGAGACUCUGGAGUUUGCGAAUGCCGACAAAUCUACCUCGGGUCUCCUAUGGACUGAAGGCAAGCAACCCACGUUCUACUUACGAGAUCCAGCACCAAAAUCUGCACAGAAAGUGCAGAGUGCAGUAUCAGUACAACUGACCCCAUGUACUGGUAAGUGUCGAGCCUAACCUCGGCAAAGUAGUGACGAGGCUAGGAUGCGACAAACAUAAACUUAUACAGUUAAAUCAUAUACGAGAAGUAAUAAUAACAAGAAUUUAAUAGAAUAAGACGGAAAAAGAGGGAGGGGACAUGCUGAGGGGGAUAUCAAGUUAUGACAAUAAUAAAGUAAAGCGACAAAGUAAAUAUCAAACUUGGAGCAACGGAAAUGAUAACACAGUAACAAGUGCAUGACAUCACCCUUCGUGCUUUUACUCUCGUCCUCACCAUAGAAAUCAACAAAAAUGGCACAGCAUCACCCUUCGUGCUUUUACUCUCUCGUAAUCAUGGCACGAUAUCACCCUUCGUGCUUUUACUUUCAAUAAUGAGGCACGACAUCACCCUUCGUGCUUUUACACUCACAGAAUCGGCAUGACAUCACCCUUCGUGCAUUAACACUCACUCAUAAUAUCAUGCACGACAUCACCCUUCGUGCUUUACACUAUUCCUCACCCAAACAAUAGAAAUAAUAACAUUCCGGCAAGGGAAUCAACAAUAGAAACAAUACCGUCCCGGCAAGAGAGUCAACAAUAUAAACAAUAUCAUCCUAGUAAGGGAGUCAAUAAUAGAAACAAUAUUAUCCCGGCAAGAGCAUCAGCUAUAACCAAUUUAGUUUCAACAGUUACUUCACAAAAUAAACCUCAACUUGAGCCAAUACGCAAAAAUGGUCAAUUACCACGAAUUUAUCAUAAGUCUUGUUCCAUAGUGAUAACCAUCAAUUUAAGCAUGAACAUUAAAUAAUAAAAAUCAUAACAAUACUAGUAUAAGACUCACGAGCAUACUUGACACCGACGUAUAGAUGCUCGUCACCUCACCUAUACAUCGUACUCAACACUAACACAUAGCAAAUAAGACACAACACCUAUUCCCUUAAGUUAAGGUUAGACCAAACACUUACCCCGAUUUCACGGCCAAACUCAAUCCCCAAAUACUGCUUUUCCCUUAAUUUUCACUUUCAAUCCGCUUAUAGCUAGCCAAUAUUAACUUAUUAACAUUAAUUGAAGACAAAGAAACCAAUUCAAAUGAAAAAUUACACAUUUCCCAAUAUUCUUCCAAAAAGUCAAACUCGACCUCGGGCCCACUUGGUCAAAACUCGAGGUUCGAACUAAAACCCGUUCACCCACUCACCUACGACCCCAAAUAUACAAUUAGUUUCGGAAUCCGACCCCAAAUCGAGGUCUAAAUCUCCAAAUUUGUGAAAUCCACAAUUCUCCUAAAAUCCCUAAUUUCUACCCUUAAAGAACAAGAUUUAGGCCUAUAAAUCUAACGAGUGAUGAUGAAAAAUGAAAGAAAUGAGUUUAAGAACACAUACCUAUGAUUUGGUGAUGAUAUCCCUCUUCAAAAAUCGCCCAAGGUUGAUUUAUAUGGAAAAAGAUAUGAAAUUAUGACUUUUUGCCGUUUCUACUUCUGUUUUAAGGUUGAUUUAAAGGCAAAAUUAGCGUUUUCCUCAAAUUUUCACAUAAAGGCUUUCUGGAUAUACGCCCGGACUGCUCACGCAAAUUGAGGUGAGGCAAAAGAAGUUUUUAAGGCCUCGAAACAUAGAUUUGACUUUAAAAGAAGAGAUGACCUUUUGGGUCAUCACACAUAUCGAGUAAAAAACUUGUCCCACAUGCAACUUAAAAUAAUUGGUAACAUACACAUUGAAAAUCAUGUGUAAAUCAUGCAAGUUAUGAAAACACAAAUUGCAGUAAGAUUAUUACUCACAAUACUCGUGCCGAAAUACCAUAUAUUUCACCUCAUGCGAUUCAUACAAAUUCCUCCAAUCAAUCUAUAAUUACAUAAUAUCGAUCCCAUGUUAAUUUUCUCAUUUAGGCUAAAUCCAUCACUAAUGUAGAAUACCCAAUCCUCCGAGUUUAUAUUUCAGCAUCAAUUUAUCAAAUGUAUUUUAAUUAAUUAAUCCACCUAACCUCGUUAUUCUAAUCAUUAUCCAUCAUCUCAUUAUUAUAAGUUAUUGGCUAAUCCUUAGUAUCUAAAUAUAAAACCAGUAACAGUAGAGGCAACAUGGAUUUCUGAUGCAUUCUUAAGUCCCCAAAAACUUAAAUCAUUAUUACUACCAUCAUGAUGCAAAUCAUUGGCAAUCAUUCCAUCUUAUAAACCAAUAUUAAGAAGUUUUACCAAAAUAACUCUACAUAGCAGUAACUUUUAACCCAAUAUUUUACUAUUAUUGUUACUUUAUACUCCCUCCGUUCCAAUUUAUGUGAACCUGUUUGAAUGAGCACGAAGUUUAAGAAAAAAUACAGACUUUUGAAGUCUGUGGUCCUAAACAAAUCAAAAAGGGGCCCAGAGUAUUUGUGUGGUUAUAAAAGCUUCUCAUUAAGUGUAGAAUUGUAAAUUUAAGCUAAAUUGUUUUCAAAUUUAAAAAGGGGUCAUUCUUUUUGGAACGGACCAAAAAGGAAAUAGGUUCACAUAAACUGAAACGGAGGGAGUAAUCAUUACCACAUCACUAGCUAAUUCUUACAAACAUCAUAAUAAUUAUUAAACUAACAUCACAUGGCUCAUAAUUGAGCCAUCACUACCCAUACCCCUUUUUAUUUCAAGAAUUUACUUGUUUAUACUUAUUUUCUAAGUACAAUACAAUGUUGGACAAAUUCAAAAUUUACCUGUGAAAGCU
Molecule: long non-coding RNA, 2948 nt
Filed under: Nicotiana tabacum (common tobacco)
Lineage: Eukaryota; Viridiplantae; Streptophyta; Magnoliopsida; Solanales; Solanaceae
Description: long non-coding RNA (NTAB_LNC009705)
Source: RNAcentral